CCGAAUCUUCAUUCUUGCUCACACUGGUAGAUCGAGUUCUAAAAAGGUUUUGAUUGAUUGUGUAAAAGUCUAAAAAGCAAAAAAAAAAUUAGGCGUAGGGCAUGGAUCAAGAAGCAGCAAGAAGUGCGCGGGAUUCUCUGGACUUAGCGUUUCACAUGUCUAACAUUCUCGAAACUGGUUUGGAUCGCCACACUCUUUCGAUUCUGAUCGCUCUCUGUGAAAUGGGUAUCAACCCAGAAUCUUUGGCCGCCGUAGUUAAGGAGCUUCGUAGAGAAUUGCCGCCUCCUUCUUCCGCCGAGACAGCAACAUAAACCAGGUAUUGCUGAAUUAGUUCUUAUUUUAUUUUAUUUUAUUUUAUUUUUCUUUUGCGUGUGUGUGUAUUUUAAAGGGGUAGAUUAGUUUUGUUAUAUGUCCAUACUAUUAAGCAUAAUCCGUCCCACUGUGAGAAAGGAUGAUUUUGAGUAAAUUUUAUUGCGCCUAAAUUUUCUAUUUGCAUCUAUACGUCAUGAAGAAAUCAAAAUAUUGGGACGGAUUAUCCAAAAAUGGCUGCUUCGUCAUUAUAUAAUGUGGCCUUGCUGCUGUAAUCUUAAUUAGCUCUCACAUCCCUGGUGUUACUUUUGCACAUUUCGAACAAGUUUUUCUAGAAAACAAAAUCCAUAGUUUUCUAAGCGAAACUAUACAACAAUAGUUAUAUGAAGUUCCUAGAUCCAUUGCCGCAAUCAAAAUUUGUGUUCUGCCACAGACAGCCACUUCCUAGUAAGUUUCAUUCGAAAAUAUUUAGGCGUGACACCAAUAGUUCCAUCUCUUAGUUGUAGUUGUAGUAGCAUGCAUUUGACUUUCCUUCUGUUUUUCGUCCAAAUUGCAGGGUGGCCUCUCGGCAGGGACGGAGCCAGGAAUUAAUUUCGGGGGGGGGCUGAAACUGGUAUUUUUUUUAUUAAAAUACGAGCAUAAUACUAAUAAUAACGAACAAUAUUUUCAUAGAUUAUAUAGUUUCAAUAUAUCACAAAACUUUUUUUGGACAUUCCGUAUAUUUAACACAUUUUUUAUUAAAAGGAAAGCAUAAUAAUAGUAACAAACAACAUGUUCAUAGAUUAUAUAUUUUCUAUAUAUUACAAAUUAGUUUCAAUACAUUAUAAUUUUUUUUUAGCAUUUCAUACAUAUUAGGCAUUUUUUAUUAAAAGAUAAGUAUAAUAGUAAUAAUAACAAAUAAUAUUUCAUAGAUUAUAUAGUUUUAAAUAACGGAAUUAUCCUUAAAUUAAGUAUAUAUAUGAGAGAAUAUAAUAACUAAAUACUCUUUUAUUAAACAAAAAUAUUUUAUAAUAGGUAUAAACAUAUAUCUAUAUAUAUAUUUUAAAUUUAAAAAAAAAAACAAAAAAAAACAAAACAAAACUCAAAAUUUGGGAGGGGGCUCUAGCCCCCCCUGGCUCCGUCUAUGCCUCUCGGUUGUUGUAUGAAGAAGAAGAUGACUUGGAAGCAAAGGUUACUCUGCUGCAUUUUACUUUGCAAUGGUUUAAGUUUUCUUGUAAUGUAGUAAGAACGAAAAAACAAGGCAAAUUUUUUUGCUACAGCCGUCGUGUACUAUUAUUUUGGAUUACAAAUUUAACAUGUAAUCAAUGAUAUGAUAUAAUAGUAUAGAUGGUUGGCAACUAAAUAGGCUUCAGAUAAUGUAUUCUAAAAAUAUUCUAAUACUACUAUAUAAAAAUUUAAUGCGAUUUCUUAAAGAUGAUAUUAUUUGU
Molecule: long non-coding RNA, 1736 nt
Filed under: Salvia miltiorrhiza (redroot sage)
Lineage: Eukaryota; Viridiplantae; Streptophyta; Magnoliopsida; Lamiales; Lamiaceae
Description: long non-coding RNA (SMIL_LNC006120)
Source: RNAcentral